RNAcentral lists this ribosomal RNA (419 nucleotides) under bacterium. Its description in RNAcentral is "partial 16S ribosomal RNA". It matches the Rfam family "Bacterial small subunit ribosomal RNA", at positions 355 to 776 of the family's 1533-position model. The record is from RNAcentral.
UGGGGGAUAUUGCACAAUGGGCGAAAGCCUGAUGCAGCGACGCCGCGUGGGGGAUGAAGGCCUUCGGGUUGUAAACUUCUUUUGCUCUGAACAAGGCGCACCAUGGGGUGUGUUGAGUGUAGGGGUUGAUUAGCGCCGGCUAACUACGUGCCAGCAGCCGCGGUAAUACGUAGGGCGCGAGCGUUGUCCGGAAUUAUUGGGCGUAAAGGUCUUGUAGGUGGCUGGUUGCGUCUGUCGUGAAAGCUCAUGGCUUAACUGUGGGUUUGCGGUGGGUACGGGCUGGCAUGAGUGCAGUAGGGGAGGCUGGAAUUCCUGGUGUAGAGGUGGAAUGCGCAGAUAUCAGGAGGAAUACCGGUGGCGAAGGCGGGUCUCUGGGCUGUUACUGACACUGAGGAGCGAAAGCAUGGGGAGCGAACAGG